RNAcentral lists this ribosomal RNA (209 nucleotides) under uncultured fungus. RNAcentral describes it as "partial small subunit ribosomal RNA". The stretch from base 83 to 209 matches the Rfam family "Eukaryotic small subunit ribosomal RNA", at positions 735 to 864 of the family's 1831-position model. The record is from RNAcentral. Lineage: Eukaryota; Fungi.
GGCCAGCGCUGUUCUUGGCUCUCUGAGUCGGCUCAGUGUUUGGUCAUCCGUAUGGAAAGCUAACUCGGCCUUCACUGGUCGGUUAGUGGAUCAUACACUUUACUUUGAAAAAAUUAGAGUGUUUCAGGCAGGCAAUUGCUUGGAUACUUCAGCAUGGAAUAAUGGAAUAGGACUUUGACCUAUUUGUUGGUUUCUUCGAGGUCAAGGUA